RNAcentral lists this long non-coding RNA (3539 nucleotides) under Pan troglodytes (chimpanzee). RNAcentral describes it as "long non-coding RNA NONPTRT017298". The record is from RNAcentral. Lineage: Eukaryota; Metazoa; Chordata; Mammalia; Primates; Hominidae.
GGCGUGAACUCGGGAGGCAGAGCUUGCAGUGAGCCGAGAUCGUGCCCCUGCACUCCAGCCUGGGCGACAGAGUGAGACUGUCUCAAAAAAAAAAAAAAAAAAAAAAAAAGAGAAAGAAAAAGUCCCUAGGCCAGGCACAGUGGCUCAUACCUGUGAUCUUGGCAUUUUAGAGGCCUGAGGCUGGAGGAUCGCUUGAGCAGACAUUGAGGGUGCAGUGAGCUGUGAUUGUGCCCCUGCACUCCAGCCUGGGCAACAGAGCAAGACCCCAUCUCAAAGAGAAAGAAAAGUCCCUGAUGCCUGCCGUGUCCUUUGAAGCCUCUACCCCGAGCAUGGAGUCUGCUGGGCUGUCACAUCCAAUCAGCGUCCCAGCCUGGACCCCCGGUUCCCGCUCGACAGGGGAGGAGAAACACCUUCGUGUGCUCUGAGGCUGAGGACUUUGGGUGAGGAUUCCACAUUUGCGCACACGCCACCCUCUCAGCGGGGCCCGGACUCUUCACCAAGUUCUUUAGCGCCUGGAAUUCAGCAAGGGCACAGUUGCUGCCUGGUCACUAAGCCCAGCGGCCCCCGUUCAGUUCUCGUCACCUCCACACUCUCCACACGUAGCUCUCAGCUCUUACGAUGGCCUUCUGCCUGAGCUUCCCAACCCUGUAUCCUCCCAGAGCUGCCUGUCGGCUGCCCUCUGCCACGCGGGACCCUCCGCCGCCCUCUCCUCUGCCACGCGGGACCCUCCGCCGCCCUCUCCUCUGCCACGCGGGACCCUCCGCCGCCCUCUCCUCUGCCACGCGGGACCCUCCGCCGCCCUCUCCUCUGCCACGCGGGACCCUCCGCCGCCCUCUCCUCUGCCACGCGGGACCCUCCGCCGCCCUCUCCUCUGCCACGCGGGACCCUCCGCCGCCCUCUCCUCUGCCACGCGGGACCCUCCGCCGCCCUCUCCUCUGCCACGCGGGACCCUCCGCCACCCUCUCUGCCACGCGGGACCCUCCGCCGCCCUCUCCUCUGCCACGCGGGACCCUCUGCCGCCCUCUCCUCUGCCACGCUGGACCCUCUGCCGCCCUCUCCUCUGCCACGCGGGACCCUCUGCCGCCCUCUUCUCUGCCACGCGGGACCCUCUGCCGCCCUCUCCUCUGCCGCCCUCUUCUCUUCCACGUGGGAUCCUCUGCCAUCUGCUCCGCGCUUUGCUUUCGGGGCUGCCUCUGUGGCUGUCUCCCUCACGCCGGGGCUCCCGCCAAACCCAUGAGGCAGCCCCUGUGUAAGGCUCCUGGUCAGCCAAGAGGACCCCAGCGCCCUGGAGGCUGCACCCCCAUCCCUCCUGCUGUGGGGCCCUUGGUGCUCCAGGCCCGAGUCUCUCACACCGCGGCUCACCCGCUGCCCCAAGGGGCUCAGGCAGCAGGUCCAGCUCCUCCCGGGGCCUGCGACAGAACAGUUCCAGCAGGGGGCUCUCACGUCCCCACCUGCUCCCAGAGAGGUGCUUCUGUGCCCAGACAUGGAACAGCUCCACAGAAAAUGAGGGCACUGGCCGAGCAGGCCCAGACUCCAGAAAGGAAACCACUGAGGGUGCAGGCCCGACCCACGUCACCUCGGAGUCUGUCCUCGCGGAGACGGUGACGGGCCCUUCCCUCACUGUACAGAUGAGGACACACAAGGAGCUGACUUCAUGCCUGGACAUUAAGCUCAGGAAUUCCCAGCCUAGAGCUGGCUCUCUAGGUUGCGGGGUCUGGUCCCAGUCCAGAAACAUCUCCCAAGCCACAGCUCAGGACACAGCAGGGUGGGGGGCGAGGGGGCGAGUGGGAGCUCCAGGGAGAGGCCCCUAAGGCUGUUCCCCAUCAUCAGAACUUGCAGGCCAGUGGCCUCUAAAGGUACUCAUUAGAGGGCUGUGGACCUCACUUGCCCAAAACCUGCCCGGGCCUGCUCAGCACAUCCUUCUGAGACGUGAGGCUGUGACCACCUGCUGCCUCAGCGUCCCCUUCUCACCCCGAACAACCUGCCUUUAACCCAACUCUCUCCAGACUGACAACGAUCCCUGUAGACUGUCAGAGCCUCGUUUGGAUAGUCACAGACUACCUGGAUAAAAGAUAAAACAUGGCCGGGCGCGGUGGCUCACGCCUGUAAUUCCAGCACUUUGGGAGGCCGAGGCGAGCGGAUCACCUGAGGUCAGGAGUUCAAGACCAGCCUGGCCAACAUGGUGAAUCCCUGUCUCUACUCAAAAUACAAAAAUUAGCCAGGCAUGGUGGCAGGCACCUGUAGUCCCAGCUGCUCAGGAGGCUGAGGCAAGAGAAUCACUUGAACCUGGGAGGCGGAGGUUGCAGUGAGCUGAGAUUAUGGCAUUAUCCUCCAGCCUGGGCGACGAGUGAAACUCCAUCUCAAGAAAAAAAAAAAAAAAAGAUAAAACAUGCAGAGUAGAAACCCCAGGUGGACAGAUACCUGUCCCACCCAGAGAAAAGCUGGGUGGUGCCAUCGACGGGCAAAAGUAGUGGAAAAGCCAGCUGCGUGUGCUGGCGCGAGAUGCGUUUCCAUGAUGGAGGAUGCCACGCACUCAGCCUCUCCUGUUACCCUGUGGCCUGCGAGCCCUCUCUUAAGUGCACCAAGAGCAGCAAGGGACUUAGAGCAACUUCAUUCACUGCUGCCCAGGCGGAAAAGGGCGCACAGGCCCUGCAGCUGGAACUGGGUAACAGGCCGGGUGGAGACUCACACUGGAUCCCACUCAGCCAUGAUCACAAGAACAGAGCGACUGCUGCUCGGGUCUCACGGGCGACUGACAGCAACCGGGAGCCCCAAAGCCUUCCCGACACCCCCUGUUCCAUCCACGAACAGAUGCUUUAGGUACUGAUUUUCUCCUCUCUGCCUGGCUGGAACAUCCGUCUGCAUCGGACAGGCUUCCUUCUGCACCUGUGACCUCACAAGGGCUCUCCUUGGGGAUGCAGGACCAGAGCAGCCCUGAGCAACCGAGCACAGCCAAGGAACAGGCCCCAGGGAGGCCAGGACCCAGGUCCUCACGCCUGCGGCCACAGAAGCACCGUGUCCCUGCAGCUGUGAGCCACCAGGCGUCUGGGUGGGUGGUUACUCAGCACGUGCCAGUAGAGAAACUGGGUCCCAGAGUUGGGGUUGCUGUGGACUGGAUACUUGUCCCCCACCUCCAGUUCACAUGUUAAAGUCCUCACCCCCAGCAAGACAGUGUUGCAGGUGGGGCCUUUGGGAGGGGAGCAGGUUGAGAGAAGAUCCUGGGGGACCCUCACGAUGAGAUGAGCGCCCUCAUGGGAAGAGACACCGGAGCCUCCUCUCCAGGAGCACACACGGGGACAGCCACAUGAGCAAGAGGCUGCUGUCCGUAAGCUGGGGGUGGUCCCUCAACAGGAACUGGGUCUGUGGCACCUGGAGGCUGGACUCCCAGCCUGCAGAGCUGGGAGAAAGAAAUGUCUGCUGUGAAGCCAGUCGGUCUGUGGAAUUUUGACACAGCAGCCUCGUCUAAGACAGGUGCCGGCAGAGCCACCUCGUCUAAGACAGGUGUUGGCAGAGCCACCUCGUCUAAGACAGGUGCCGGC